UACGGAGGGUGCAAGCGUUAUCCGGAUUCACUGGGUUUAAAGGGUGCGUAGGAGGGCAGGUAAGUCAGUGGUGAAAUCUCCAAGCUUAACUUGGAAACUGCCGUUGAUACUAUCUGUCUUGAAUAUUGUGGAGGUGAGCGGAAUAUGUCAUGUAGCGGUGAAAUGCUUAGAUAUGACAUAGAACACCAAUGGCGAAGGCAGCUCGCUGGGACGGUACUGACGCUGAGACGCGAAAGCGUGGGGAGCAAACAGG
This 253-nucleotide ribosomal RNA is filed under the name uncultured bacterium. RNAcentral's name for it is "partial 16S ribosomal RNA". It matches the Rfam family "Bacterial small subunit ribosomal RNA", at positions 524 to 776 of the family's 1533-position model. The record is from RNAcentral.